AUGUUCCCACACGCAGUUGACCGUAGUUGCCACUGGCAUAUCGUUAAGAAAGCCCAAGAGAAGUUGGGUGCUUACUUGGCUAGGCAUCCUGAGCUAGCUAAAGAACUCAAUGAGGUGAUAGACUUGAGCAUGACUCCUGAGGAGUUUGAGGCAAGGUGGGCUGCUAUGGUUGAGAAGCAUGGUAUUGCUGGCGAUAAAUGCUUUGAUGAUCUCUAUGCAAGCAAGCAUCUUUGGGUCCCUUGUUACUUUAGGAACUGUUUCUUCCCAUUCCUGCAGUCGACUCAGCGUAGUGAAGGCUUCAAUACUGUCCUAAAAAGGUACAUGAACCCGCAAAAUUCUGUGGUCAACUUUGUGAAGCAAUAUGAGAAGAUAAAUGACAAGAUCUUGGUGAAAUAAGGGGGUAAUGAUUACUGA
Molecule: ribosomal RNA, 414 nt
Filed under: Triticum aestivum (bread wheat)
Lineage: Eukaryota; Viridiplantae; Streptophyta; Magnoliopsida; Poales; Poaceae
Description: partial small subunit ribosomal RNA
Source: RNAcentral